GACGGAGGAUGCAAGCGUUAUCCGGAAUGAUUGGGCGUAAAGCGUCCGCAGGUGGCAGUUCAAGUCUGCUGUCAAAGACCGGGGCUUAACUUCGGAAAGGCAGUGGAAACUGAACAGCUAGAGUAUGGUAGGGGCAGAGGGAAUUCCUGGUGUAGCGGUGAAAUGCGUAGAUAUCGAGAGGAACACCAGUGGCGAAGGCGAGUCCCUGGACAACACCUGACACUGAGGCACGAAAGCUAGGGGAGCAAACAGG
Molecule: ribosomal RNA, 253 nt
Filed under: uncultured bacterium
Lineage: Bacteria
Description: partial 16S ribosomal RNA
Rfam family: Bacterial small subunit ribosomal RNA
Source: RNAcentral